GACGAACGCUGGCGGCGUGCUUAACACAUGCAAGUCGAACGGAAAGGCCCUGCUUUUGUGGGGUGCUCGAGUGGCGAACGGGUGAGUAACACGUGAGUAACCUGCCCUUGACUUUGGGAUAACUUCAGGAAACUGGGGCUAAUACCGGAUAGGAGCUCCUGCUGCAUGGUGGGGGUUGGAAAGUUUCGGCGGUUGGGGCUGGACUCGCGGCUUAUCAGCUUGUUGGUGGGGUAGUGGCUUACCAAGGCUUUGACGGGUAGCCGGCCUGGGAGGGUGACCGGCCACAUUGGUACUGAGAUACGGACCAGACUCCUACGGGAGGCAGCAGUGGGGAAUAUUGCACAAUGGGCGGAAGCCUGAUGCAGCAACGCCGCGUGCGGGAUGACGGCCUUCGGGUUGUAAACCGCUUUCGCCUGUGACGAAGCGUGAGUGACGGUAAUGGGUAAAGAAGCACCGGCUAACUACGUG
This 468-nucleotide ribosomal RNA is filed under the name uncultured bacterium. Its description in RNAcentral is "partial 16S ribosomal RNA". It matches the Rfam family "Bacterial small subunit ribosomal RNA", at positions 28 to 507 of the family's 1533-position model. The record is from RNAcentral.